This 306-nucleotide long non-coding RNA is filed under the name Ananas comosus (pineapple). Its description in RNAcentral is "long non-coding RNA (ACOM_LNC042924)". The record is from RNAcentral. Lineage: Eukaryota; Viridiplantae; Streptophyta; Magnoliopsida; Poales; Bromeliaceae.
AAUCUUCACAUUAUCACUGUUAAAUAUAAAAAAUUACAAACACUAUUCUCUAACGGCUUAUGUCUUUGAAGAAAAUAAUUGUCCCGCAUUAUUUAAUAUGAUAACAGGGCAGAAGAUUCUAAGUUCGAAUCAUACAAAGCUCCUAGCAUAAUUGAUCGUGAACCUAUCAAAAAAGUUUUAAACCCAAAUGUGAAAGAGAGUGUUAAACAAAAAAGUAUAAAAAUAUCGAUCAUUCUCCGUCAGUUUAAGCUUUUUGAGAAUAGCAAUUGUUCUAUAUAAUUUAACAAUUACACAUAUUACAUAUAA